Molecule: RNA transcript, 978 nt
Organism: Cornus florida
Lineage: Eukaryota; Viridiplantae; Streptophyta; Magnoliopsida; Cornales; Cornaceae
Exons: 3
Source: RefSeq, a predicted model, not a curated record
GCACAGUCCUCUCUGUUGUAAAAGGAGGAAAGCUUCCCCACCUCGCAUGAGGGCAAAGAGCCCCCAAUCCCAAUCCCAAUCCCCAUUCUCCACUUGACAAAUUUCAUCAUUCAAUUUCAGGAACCGAAAAAAAAAAAAACCCAUUCAUCAUCAACCAACAUGGCUUUGAGUCACAGGCUUUCUCAAAAUUUUCUACCCAACCCAUCAAAUGUGAUGAAGACCAAGAAAUCUUCACAUACCAAUGAGAGAAAGCCACGAAAAUUCCAAGUCAUCCACGCAGAGAAGAGAUGCUUGAGAUGCAAUACUCUCUACCAUGACAAAGAUAAUUCCCCAACUUCUUGCUCGUUCCAUGGCCACACCACUGUUGGAAUUUGAUUUUCAGCAGCCUGAGGACAAACAAUCUGAUUCCCAAGAAGUCAAAAUUUCGAAUGAUCAAUGAUGUCUAUAAGCAGAAAGAAGAUUCACCAAUACUUUCAUGUCCCAGUCCUGAACCAGCAAGCCUUUGUUUGGUUGGUUUCCAUGUUACUUGAAUGUGGUUGCAGGGAGAGAAGGGACUCUAUGCAUUGGCACCACCUCACCAAGGGAUUGAUGGAGAGUGGAGUGAUCGGUCUGGAGUGAUCGUCUACAAAUGGAACGAAAAGAAUAAUCGACCAAACACUGGAAGGGCGAACUGGAAAAAGAGAUGGAGCUGUUGUGCUGAGUAUGAUGAAAAUGCCCCACCUUGUCGACAAGGUUGGCAUGUCUCGUAUGAUGAUGGCUUCACUUUAUAUUAGUCACAUUUCAAUCAAAUGCAUUGUCAACUAUUGAAAUCAGUAGCACAUAAACUGACUCCACCUGCAAAUACAAGGUUAUAUAAACUAAAUUCUUCUACACAUAGCUCACACUAACUGGCAUUACCCAUUUUUCCCUGCGAAUUUGAAACAAAAAUAUCUGAUGGUUUCUAUCAAUUAAAUCCUACCACACACUUAUUUCUUCUUC